Molecule: ribosomal RNA, 441 nt
Filed under: uncultured Chromatiales bacterium
Lineage: Bacteria; Pseudomonadati; Pseudomonadota; Gammaproteobacteria; Chromatiales
Description: bacterial SSU rRNA
Rfam family: Bacterial small subunit ribosomal RNA
Source: RNAcentral
CAGCAGUGGGGAAUAUUGGACAAUGGGCGCAAGCCUGAUCCAGCAAUGCCGCGUGUGUGAAGAAGGCCUGCGGGUUGUAAAGCACUUUCAGUGGGGAGGAAAAGCUCAAGGAUAAUACCCUUGGGUCUUGACGUUAUCCACAGAAGAAGCACCGGCUAACUCUGUGCCAGCAGCCGCGGUAAUACAGAGGGUGCAAGCGUUAAUCGGAAUUACUGGGCGUAAAGCGCGCGUAGGCGGUUUGUUAAGUCGGAUGUGAAAGCCCCGGGCUCAACCUGGGAACUGCAUUCGAUACUGGCAGGCUAGAGUAUGGUAGAGGGAAGUGGAAUUCCGGGUGUAGCGGUGAAAUGCGUAGAUAUCCGGAGGAACAUCAGUGGCGAAGGCGGCUUCCUGGACCAAUACUGACGCUGAGGUGCGAAAGCGUGGGGAGCAAACAGGAUUAGA